GACAGAACCCGCACCAUAGAGGGGCCCGGGGCACAUGCCUCCCUACGAGAACCAGCACCCGUGGCACAGGGGAGGCUGAACUUCCUCUGACCCAUCUGGGUUCGGGAUGUGAAGGACCUCAGAUUGGAGCAAGUCAACCCAAGGCAACUUGAGUGAUAAGCCUGUCCUGGGGAUCAAUCCGCCCCCGAAUCCAGGAAGGCCCUAUAGAUCAGGGACCUACCCCAAGGAGCUGUUGGGGGGGGGGUGGCGGUGAGGGACAGCGCGAAGCUAGAAGGGCAUGCGAAUACCGUCUCUUUCCAGGAAGGACCAAUCCUGCGAGAUGCCCGUCACAGACACACCCAGAGGCCACGGGAAGGUGCCAACAUCUCCAGCUUGCCGGCUGUCUUCACCCCAGCCUGCGAGGGCUAUUCUGACUUGGACAGCCGUGCAGACUCUCGCGGGCAGCUGGGAGAGAGGACGGUGCAAACCCCAGGGAGGGCCCUUCACACACACCGGGGGGAGGGCAGUGGGCUUCCGGCAGCUGGCAGCUUGGUUGCCAGACGGGACUUUGGGGCCUCUCAUUCCUGAGCAGUGCGUCUGAAAAACUCACAAAUUUCCUAACAUAACUCGGGGAGCCUUGAUUGUUAAUAAAACUGUCUCUUUACUUCUUCCCUCCAGCUGCCUCCCCACGAGGGAUGCGGGUGGCGGGGGGGGGGCGGGAGGGAAUCAGGAAGGGGGGGCAAGGGGAAGACAGAUUCACUCUGCCUUAUCUCCAAAGCGUUCAGCUAAGUGCCGGAACAUAAUAAGUGCUCAAUAAAUAACCACUAUUAGAGGAGGAAGAGACGGAGGAAACCAGACAGGUCAGAAUUUAAUUCUGCCACGCAGGUCUACUGUGCUUCUGUCCAGGGAAAAAGAGCGAAAGAGUAUCUCCACUUUCCAUCUCCCUCUGCCUCCGAGGCUGACUUUGCGGCGGUGUCCUCCUGUCCCCUUUUGCCUGCCGCCUGUUGAAAAAAAAGAAAAGAAAAGAAAAGAAAAACCAAAAGCCAAUCUGGCAUGCUUGGCCGGGCCUCUACCUCCCCAGCCCACAGCCCCUCCGACUUGAUGUUUAAUUUCCCUGGGUCGAGAGGAAGCGUUCUGAUGAUCCAAGUUAAUUCAAAAUGUAAAUUUCAUCUCCUAUCGGCUAAUGGCUCUGAGCUCUGCUUUACGUAACGGGACAGCAGCUGCCUGAUGAGUCACCGGGGCCUCUGGUGCCCCUGGU
RNAcentral lists this long non-coding RNA (1237 nucleotides) under Lynx pardinus (Iberian lynx). The record is from RNAcentral. Lineage: Eukaryota; Metazoa; Chordata; Mammalia; Carnivora; Felidae.